This is a microRNA precursor of Oryza sativa Indica Group (long-grained rice), 204 nucleotides long. It matches the Rfam family "MIR812 microRNA precursor family". NCBI's taxonomy places the organism in Eukaryota, Viridiplantae, Streptophyta, Magnoliopsida, Poales, Poaceae. The record is from Rfam.
AAUAAGUGCAGCCAUAAGUUUCCGCAUCCAACUUCAAUCGUCCGUUUUAUUUGAAAUUUUUUUAUAAUUAGCAAUUUUGUUGUUAUACGAUGAUAAAACAUGAAUAGUACUUUACUCGUGACCUAUAUUUUUAAUUUUUUAAAAUUUUUUUUAAAUAAGACGAAUGGUUAAAGUUGGACGCUGAAAACCAUGGCUACACUUAUU